This is a long non-coding RNA of Rhinopithecus roxellana (golden snub-nosed monkey), 1344 nucleotides long. RefSeq lists it as uncharacterized. Lineage: Eukaryota; Metazoa; Chordata; Mammalia; Primates; Cercopithecidae. The record is from RefSeq and is a predicted model, not a curated record. The transcript is spliced from 4 exons.
AGGAACUUGCCUUGAAAUGUUAAAAAAAAAAAGGCAGGAAAAAACCCAGCAGAAUCUAUCUUUCAUUGUAGGGGAGCCCAGGUUGUCCUGCUUAUCUGAAAUUAAGCCCAAAUCCUAAAAAUUCUGAAUACCUGCUGUCAGCCUCCUGCAAACGGGCCAGGUUGCCUAAGGAAUGUCGCGAGAGAGCUGGCAGAGGCAGAGGACAGGACAGGCACCAGCAAACACUACUUCACCAUGCAGCUAUUUUCAUGUCCUCCCAGCCCACUGAAGUGCUGAUAAUGGCUUGGGUCAAUUCAACAAACACAUUUUGGACACCUCCUUUGCACCAGACACAGUGUUCGCCGAGGCACACAGGGCGGCCGCAGGUGCCUUAGUCUGCAGGGGGGGCAGAAUCCCAGCGGGACCCUCCCAGCCCACAGUCCUGUUUGGCACUGGGCCAGGGCCAUUGAGCAGGAGAAGGAGUUGGUGCAGAAGUCAGCUCCGACUGAGAGCAGCUGCAGAAGACAGGCCUGCUCAGAAGCCAAAGUGUCUCAUUCCACAGACAGAAGUUAUAUACAGCAUAAGACGGCUGUGCCUGGAGACAAUGAAUUUCCACAUGCAGAAGACAGGGUCUUGCUUUAUUGCUCAAGCAGGAAUGGACUGGUGCAGUCAUCCCCACCGCAGCCUGAAGCUCCUGGGCUCAAGCGAUUGGAUUCUCUGCCUCUGCCUCCUGACUAGCUAGGACUAUGGGAGUAUGCCACCAUGCCCAGCUUCUUCGCCCUGAGGAGAAGAAACAUCUCAAUCUGUGAACAGAAUUAAAAGAAUCUAUUGCCUAGACCUAUUCUUGUGAAAGUUUUAAAUUUUUAGAAUAAAAAAUCCUACAAUAAAAUUUAUUACAAAGGAACAAAGAUAAGUAAGGUUUUAGACUCAACAAUAAACAUAUGUCUUCUUUUAUGAAGACACAAAAAUUUGAAGGGAAAAAUUGUGUCCAAGAAUUUUUUACCUAGCCAAUGUAUCUUCUCUUUUAUUGAUUUACUUAUUUAUUUUUAUGUAUACUUUGUUUUAUUCAUAAUUUGUAAUAUUCUUGGAUAUCAAAAGUAAUUCUAAUGAUGGCUGAAUUUAACAAAAAAAUGUUAACCUCAUUUAAAAACACAUACUGAUCCAUCUCAUUCAAUGGUAAUAGUCUCAUUUAAUGAUCAUUUAAAGGGAUGUUAAAAACAAACAUGCACUCAAUUGUAGUUUUCUUAUGAAAACUAUUUCAUUAUUGGUGGGUAGCGCAUGUAUGUAUUGUUUAAAUAAUGUAGAGGUGACUGCACAACUGCGAGAUGGGUAACUAGAUCGAUAACCAGCUCAAUGAUAAACCAG